Small nucleolar RNA from Nycticebus coucang (slow loris), 135 nucleotides. The record is from RefSeq and is a predicted model, not a curated record. NCBI's taxonomy places the organism in Eukaryota, Metazoa, Chordata, Mammalia, Primates, Lorisidae.
UGUGGACAUUACAAAAGCUACAGCUCCUUCUCCACAGCCGCUAUAGCCAAAAAGGAGCUCAGAGUGACAGCUGUCCCUGACAGUCAACCUUCCACUUGCCAUAAUAGAUCUGCAAUAUUUGGGGCAAAUACCAUU